This 305-nucleotide ribosomal RNA is filed under the name uncultured bacterium. Its description in RNAcentral is "bacterial SSU rRNA". It matches the Rfam family "Bacterial small subunit ribosomal RNA", at positions 334 to 657 of the family's 1533-position model. The record is from RNAcentral.
GUGCCUACGGGGCGCAGCAGUCGGGAAUAUUGCGCAAUGGAGGAAACUCUGACGCAGUGACGCCGCGUAUAGGAAGAAGGUCUUCGGAUUGUAAACUAUUGUCGUUAGGGAAGAGAAAGGACAGUACCUAAGGAGGAAGCUCCGGCUAACUACGUGCCAGCAGCCGCGGUAAUACGUAGGGAGCGAGCGUUAUCCGGAUUUAUUGGGUGUAAAGGGUGCGUAGGCGGUAUUUUAAGUUAGUGGUAAAACGUCGGGGCUUCACCUUGAUUGGCCAUUAAAACUGGAGUACUAGAGUACAGACGAGG